Molecule: long non-coding RNA, 1691 nt
Organism: Prosopis cineraria
Lineage: Eukaryota; Viridiplantae; Streptophyta; Magnoliopsida; Fabales; Fabaceae
Exons: 2
Source: RefSeq, a predicted model, not a curated record
CCUUGCCUGCCUCCCUGCAUCAUGUUGCUUCGUCGCCGCCGCCUCUGGUCUAUGAUUUCUCUAUUUCUCCCACCAUCUUUAUAUGUGACUGAUUUAUUUUUAUUUUUUUUAGCGCUCCAAUUUCUUUCGUUUAGUCUUACUCCCCCCCCCCCCCCGGGGGUUUCCUCCCUAAAUUGAAGCCCAAUGAUGCACAAAUCGACCUCCAUUGAGCAGUUUUCUGCGGUUCCAGUUCUUUACUUGCCUUCUCUUGCCGCUGCGAUUCUCUCUCUCUCUCUCUCUUUCUUUCCUUCUUUCUCUUCUCACACACACACGCACGCACACACGUUUUGCGGUGGGUUUUGAAGGCAUUUGAUGAACGCCGCUAGCUUUAAACUGUGAAUGAUUCAUCAAAGCUAUGAGAUCUGAGGGCAUUUAGUGUGAUUUAUACAUUUGUGAUUUUUUGAGUUCUAUUUGACAUCAGCUUGUUCAUUUGUUGUUUUUAGGCUUGUUUUAUGAUUGUUUUGAAAGUCCGAAUUGGAGUGGAUGAUGUUGCAUCCGUGCUCUGAGCGGUUUAUUUCUUUCCUUCUCUCUCUCUCUCUCUCUCUCUCUCUCUCUCUGUUUUUUUUUUUGGGUGCACUGUUGAUGGAAAUGCAGCCUAGAAAGCUAUUUCUAACCUCCCCUUGCAAGUUCUGUCAGCUACAUCUGUUGAACUCUCUGCAUUGACAUCAAGAUAAUCUGAGGUGGGUAUGCCCUUAUAAAAGAAACCAGUGAGAUUCUGAAAUACGAGAGCUUUGUUGGAUCUCUGCAUUUGUGGUUGUGGCAACCUUGAUUCUAGAAUGUAUUCAUGUUUUCUAUUUGCAUUAAUUUCUUUACUUGCUCUUCCAUUUUUCUAUUGGCUCUGAUGCCCAGUGAUGCACGAAUUAAACCAUAUUGAGCAAUUUUCAAUGGUUUCAGUUCUCCAUUUGUCUAUCCGGGCCACUGCUUUCUCUCUCUCUCUCUCUCUCUCUCUCUCUAUCUAUCUAUCUAUCUAUACUCACACGCACACACUCACUCACUGUUUUGUGGUGGUUUGUGAAGGCAUUUGAUGAACGGCGCUGUUGUUAAAUUGUGGAUGAUCAAUCAAAGCUAUGAGAUCUGAGGGCAUUUUUGUUUUUUGGUUGUGUUUGAUGUUACUGUGUAUUUGUUGUUUUGGGGCUUCUUUUUUGAUUGUUUUAGAGGUUACAAGUUGUAUGAAUGGUGAUAAGGGCACUGCGCUUUGAGCAUUGAAAUUCACAACCUUGACGGUUUUUCAUGACUCCUUCUGCUAUCUGUUAAGCUGCACGACUCAUUCAACCUAUCAAGUUACAUGCAUGUAAUUAUAAUGGGAUUUUCGUACAUUGAUGAUUGGUAUCAUUUAGUUUCACAUUGUACAUCGUGCUCUUACUUCAGGACGGUAUCUAGUAUGUUAUAUUUGCAUCUGUCCCAUGGUGGAGUUGACAUUCUGUAUGACAGUAUCAACCACCAUGGCUAUUAGUUUUUUAGUUCAGUAUAGAGGCACAAACCAUUCUUUGGACUUUUGGAUGGUUAUAAAUGAGACGCUGCAGAUGUGAACUGGGAUGGCCUUUUAAGCCUGCUCACAGCCCAUUUUCCAACCAUUUCCGUUUGGGGAUUUUGGUCCUCUUUUGUGCCUCUUUUUUCUCCCCAAGAAAACAAAAACAUACUGCUUUAUUUCA